RNAcentral lists this ribosomal RNA (658 nucleotides) under Serratia marcescens. RNAcentral describes it as "bacterial SSU rRNA". It matches the Rfam family "Bacterial small subunit ribosomal RNA", at positions 28 to 674 of the family's 1533-position model. The record is from RNAcentral. Lineage: Bacteria; Pseudomonadati; Pseudomonadota; Gammaproteobacteria; Enterobacterales; Yersiniaceae.
AUUGAACGCUGGCGGCAGGCUUAACACAUGCAAGUCGAGCGGUAGCACAGGGGAGCUUGCUCCCUGGGUGACGAGCGGNCGGACGGGUGAGUAAUGUCUGGGAAACUGCCUGAUGGAGGGGGAUAACUACUGGAAACGGUAGCUAAUACCGCAUAACGUCGCAAGACCAAAGAGGGGGACCUUCGGGCCUCUUGCCAUCAGAUGUGCCCAGAUGGGAUUAGCUAGUAGGUGGGGUAAUGGCUCACCUAGGCGACGAUCCCUAGCUGGUCUGAGAGGAUGACCAGCCACACUGGAACUGAGACACGGUCCAGACUCCUACGGGAGGCAGCAGUGGGGAAUAUUGCACAAUGGGCGCAAGCCUGAUGCAGCCAUGCCGCGUGUGUGAAGAAGGCCUUCGGGUUGUAAAGCACUUUCAGCGAGGAGGAAGGUGGUGAGCUUAAUACGNUCAUCAAUNGACGUWACUCGCAGAAGAAGCACCGGCUAACUCCGUGCCAGCAGCCGCGGUAAUACGGAGGGUGCAAGCGUUAAUCGGAAUUACUGGGCGUAAAGCGCACGCAGGCGGUUUGUUAAGUCAGAUGUGAAAUCCCCGGGCUCAACCUGGGAACUGCAUUUGAAACUGGCAAGCUAGAGUCUCGUAGAGGGGGGUAGAAUUCCAGGU